GAUGAACGCUGGCGGCAUGCCUAACACAUGCAAGUCGGACGGGAAGUGGUGUUUCCAGUGCCCGACGGGGGGGCAACGCGUAAGAACCUGCCCUUGGGAGGGGAACAACAACUGGAAACGGUUGUUAAUACCCCGUAGGUUCACUAACAAAAGGUGGAAUCCGCCCGAGGAGGGGCUGGCGUAUGAUUCGCUAGUUGGUGAGGUAAUAGCUUACCAAGGCGAGGAUCAGUAGCUGGUCCGAGAGGAUGAUCGGCCACACUGUGACUGAGCCACGGCCCAGACUCCUACGGGAGGCGGCGGUGGGGACUUUUCCGCCAUGGGCGAGAGCCUGACGGAGCCCUGCCGCGUGGAAGUAGAAGUGCCACGAGUCGUGAACUUCUUUUCUAGGAGAAGAAAAAAUGACGGUAUCUGAAGAAUAAGCAUCGGCUAACUCUGUG
Molecule: ribosomal RNA, 437 nt
Filed under: uncultured bacterium
Lineage: Bacteria
Description: partial 16S ribosomal RNA
Rfam family: Bacterial small subunit ribosomal RNA
Source: RNAcentral